UACGUAGGGUGCGAGCGUUGUCCGGAAUUAUUGGGCGUAAAGGGCUCGUAGGCGGUUUGUCGCGUCGGGAGUGAAAACACCGGGCUUAACUCGGUGCUUGCUUUCGAUACGGGCAGACUUGAGGCAUGCAGGGGAGAACGGAAUUCCUGGUGUAGCGGUGAAAUGCGCAGAUAUCAGGAGGAACACCGGUGGCGAAGGCGGUUCUCUGGGCAUGUCCUGACGCUGAGGAGCGAAAGUGUGGGGAGCGAACAGG
Molecule: ribosomal RNA, 253 nt
Filed under: uncultured bacterium
Lineage: Bacteria
Description: partial 16S ribosomal RNA
Rfam family: Bacterial small subunit ribosomal RNA
Source: RNAcentral